GACCCGAAACGGAUCGAUCUAGCCAUGAGCAGGUUGAAGAGAGCUCUAACAGGCCUUGGAGGACCGAACCUUGUGGCUAGGGGUGAAAGGCCAACCAAGAUCGGAUAUAGCUGG
This 114-nucleotide non-coding RNA is filed under the name Triticum aestivum (bread wheat). Its description in RNAcentral is "Bacterial large subunit ribosomal RNA". It matches the Rfam family "Bacterial large subunit ribosomal RNA", at positions 712 to 852 of the family's 2925-position model. The record is from Rfam by way of RNAcentral. Lineage: Eukaryota; Viridiplantae; Streptophyta; Magnoliopsida; Poales; Poaceae.